UGCGAUUCGCAGUUGGACAGAGUACCAAUGAUGGAUUUCACUUGGAAAGAUCGGUGGGUGGGCAUCGCUUGCUUUUACUUAUGCCUGGCGUUUGUGGUCGGUGACGCUUUAUAUUAUGACACAACCCUGUGUUAUGGGGAACCCGACUUCACAGGAUGCGAUUGGAGAGUUAUAAGAUGGUUCUUUAACCCAUCGACCAAGACUUGUUUCCUUUCACGCGUUUGCAGCGGUGGCUUCUGGUAUUUCAUGACUUGUGCACACAACUGCAUUGAGCGUGGACCCAAAGAGAGGCUGGCGAGGAUAAAGGAAAUGAACCAGAAAUCUACAAUUGUGGUGCCAUUCAAUUCGUUCGCAUGGACGACAACAGUGACAUGGGAUCCAACUGUUAGUAUAAAAAAAAAAAAUUAAAAAACCAAAAACACCACAAAAUGGUGGUAAAUUGUUUUCGAAUUGCCUUUGAGACGUUUAUUCAUACCUGAAAAGUCAUCAAAUUAAUGCACCCAAAUAAAAUUU
Long non-coding RNA from Drosophila pseudoobscura, 513 nucleotides. RefSeq lists it as uncharacterized. Lineage: Eukaryota; Metazoa; Arthropoda; Insecta; Diptera; Drosophilidae. The record is from RefSeq and is a predicted model, not a curated record. The transcript is spliced from 2 exons.